GAUAAACGCUGGCGGCGUGCCUUAUGCAUGCAAGUCGUACGUGAGACCGGCUUCGGCCGGUUGAAAGUGGCGAACGGGUGAGUAACACGUAGGAACCUGCCCGGAAGUGGGGGAUAACUCCGCGAAAGCGGGGCUAAUACCGCAUGUGGUCGCAAGACCAAAGCUUCGGCGCUUCCGGAGGGGCCUGCGGCGGAUUAGCUAGUUGGUGGGGUAACGGCCUACCAAGGCGACGAUCCGUAGCUGGUCUGAGAGGAUGGUCAGCCACACUGGAACUGAGACACGGUCCAGACUCCUACGGGAGGCAGCAGCAAGGAAUUUUGCGCAAUGGGCGAAAGCCUGACGCAGCAACGCCGCGUGGGGGAUGAAGGCCUUCGGGUUGUAACCCUUUAGUCGAGGGAAGAAGAUCUGACGGUACCUCGCGAAUAAGCCACGGCUAACUACGUG
Molecule: ribosomal RNA, 444 nt
Filed under: uncultured bacterium
Lineage: Bacteria
Description: bacterial SSU rRNA
Rfam family: Bacterial small subunit ribosomal RNA
Source: RNAcentral